This 1300-nucleotide long non-coding RNA is filed under the name Coturnix japonica (Japanese quail). RNAcentral's name for it is "lncRNA (ENSCJPG00005014044.1)". The record is from RNAcentral. Lineage: Eukaryota; Metazoa; Chordata; Aves; Galliformes; Phasianidae.
CAUACGGUUAGUGGAAGACGUCACCAGAUGGUCUGAUUGCUUUUUCUGUAGCCCAUCACAACAGACAUUCAUAUUGUGCAAGUCUAGAUGUGCAGGACACACCAGAAGACUCCUGAGAGUUUCAAGCUGCAAAUCUGUCAGACAAAAGGAGGUGAUCCCCUGGAGAAGGCCCCUUCUCUGUUGCACAAGAACAAGGCAGCAUUGAAGCACAUUGCUGCUGUGUCCCGAUCUCAAUCUGACCCCUGGCGACGCUCCUUCCUGCUCAUUGUGGAAAAAGGACAAAUGUGCCAAACAACCUGAGCCAAAUUACACAGACUCUCAGUGGUCACGAGAAUCACAGAGAACAGAAAUUCACACAGCACUGGAAAUAUACUGCCAUGAAACUUUAGACUGUGUGGUCUUAAAAGCAAAUGGCCAGAGGAUUUUCCUGUAACACCCAGCCUGCCAAGACACACACGGCCUCUGCUCUGCUACCAACAUUAAUCUCAUCAGUUACCUCUUACCUGGAUCAAUCGCUAUGGAUGGGUUACUUUCAUGACACCAUCCAGAAAAAAAAAAAAAAAAAAAAAAAAGGGAUCACUACAGGUAUUGUCUUUUGAGAAACAGACAAUUUUUACAGCACUGACCCUCAUGUUUUAGUGGAAACUUGCUUUUUUUUUUUUUUUUUUUUUUCUUUUUCUUUUACUUGCUUGCUUGGUCUGGUUUUUACUUCUUUAAGGCUACUUCCUUUUCUUUUAAACUUAUUUUACACAAAUAUAAUAUGAAGCAGGGGAAAACAUGCAAGGCCAUCACAGGUUCUGAAAGUAUCAAGAAAGUCAGUGUAGUACAUGACCUUCCAUAGAAGAAAAGUUCUGUAUAAUGCUAGAUAAAAUGAAUCCAACCCCUCUGUUGCAACUAAGCCUUUCCAUUAAUUAAGCUAUAAGCAGCGUAACUCCUCAUUAAGCAUAAGAAAGUUAUUCCAAAGGUAUGUCUUGAAUCAGCUCCCAAGUAACUGAACCCUUGGGACAUGUAGGGCCCACCAUGCUCUCUGACUGUCUCUGUUCAGUAUAUCAAAAGCAGUCCUUCUAACUCAGAGCCACAAACAGGAGGUAUCCAAGUCUUCACAUCAUACAUAGCUAAAUUUCUUCACUUCCUAAGAAUAGACGUUAUUCCUGUGGGAAUUAUAACAUCACUCAUCAAUCUGUUCAACUGAUCUUCGAACAGAGUUAUUUCCGAAGUCCACUCUUGGGCCACACACUGGAUUUCCUGGAGUCUCACUCACUCUCCAUACCGCUGACACAAAGGCAGCCAUCGACCCUUC